AUGGGUUACAGUCGGACGUCACAGCCAAUCACCAGCAGCCCGGUCUGUGUGGUGUAUUGAAAAAAAACGGAGAGAUGAUGAGGCAGGGAGCCCAGAGCUGACUCACUUAAGGUUCUAACUUCCAGCAGCGGUUGUGUCUGCAUGCAGCAGGCACUGAGCUGAAGAGUUCACUUCAAGCAGUCAAUCAGCUGUCAGUCGCUGAGGCGAGGCUUCAUAUCCAAAAAAAAAUCAUGGAUUUGGAAUCUGGGGAAUUGGGUGAAGGAGAUCUCUCCUCAGCAGUAACAGAAUCCUUUAACUCCAAAAGCUUGGCCCUGCAAGCUCAGAAAAAGAUCUUGAGCAAAAUGGCUACCAAGGCAGUGGCCAAUAUGCUCAUUGACGACACAAGUAGUGAGAUCCUUGAUGAGCUGUACAAAGUAACCAGAGAUUACACCAGUGACAAGAAAGAGGCUCACAAAGUCUUGAAGGAUUUGAUCAAGAUUGCUCUAAAAAUCGGAAUCCUCUACAGAAAUAACCAGUUCAACCAAGACGAAGUGGAGGUAGUGGAUAAAUUCAAGAAGAAGUUAAAUCAGGCAGCUAUGACAGCAGUCAGUUUCUAUGAGGUUGAGUUUACCUUCGAUAGAAAUGUUCUGGCAGAACUGCUGACUGAAUGCAAGGAUUUGCUGCACAUUCUGAUCGAGCGACACCUCACUCCCAAAUCCCAUGGACGCAUUGAUCACGUUUUCAGACUCUUUGCAGAUGUGGAGUUUUUGUCUGAGUUGUACAAUCCCGUUGGAGUUUACAAAGAGUAUCUGCAGAAAAUCUGCGAGGGCAUCAACAAACUGCUGGAUGAAGGCAUCAUCUGAACUUUACUGCCUAAACAAAAAGAAAACAUUUGAAUUCCCACCAUCCACUUGUCUUCAAGGGACCCAUGUACCAUCAUUGCAGGGUUUGAUGGUCUAUUCCCAUUGUUUGUAUUUGAGUGCCACAGAGAUUCCUUUUGUCUAUGAUUGUUAUACUAACAUCAGUGAAGAUUCAAGUUCUACAAUGCAGAAUGCCUCGACAGUUAGGAAGUCUGGGAGAAAAGUUGAAGCUGAUCUGUUUUUGGGUUACGUAAAGCUCGGUUACCUGAAGGGUGUGGAACUGCUGCAGUCAGAAAGAGGGGAUGGAACAUAGAAAUUAAAAAAAACAUUAGGAAUCAGACUAAGAGGAUCCAGGUAAUGAUUAUAACAUUACCUCUUCUUUGGUGCAUUGAUCUCAAGUUGUGACAAAGACUUGUAAUCAUGGUACACAUCAAUGCCAUUGGGUAUAUUAUCUUUUAGUCUUCAAUUGCAAAUCAUUUCUAAGUUAUAGCCACAACAGGAAUUAUUCACUGUCCCAGCUAACUGAUUAAAUUCAAAUAAUCCAACAGUGCAAGGUGAAAUUUUAGACUUUUAACCAAUACUUAGGUUACAUUAAUUUGAUUUGGAUUCCUUUGAAUUUAGAAGUUUGAUGGUGAACUAAGUGAGGUGCUUAAAAUGGUAAAGGGAUUAGAUAGUGUGGAUACAGAGAAGUUAUUUCCUCUAACAAGGGCAUCCAGUACAAGGGGAUACAACUGUAAAAAUAUAGAGUUUGACCAUUUAGGAAUCUCAUUCUGCCAAUCAAAAAACUGGAAUUCUCUCUCUUGUAAAAGGCUAUAAAUGCUGGGUCAAAUUAAAUUUAAAACAGAUUGAAUAGGAGUAUAAAGAUUUGGAACAAAAGGCAUAACUAUACAUUACCCACAAGCUAUUAGAAUGGCAAAGCAGGCUUCUGGAGUUGAGUGGCCUAUUCCCAUUCCAGAAGAGUGUAUUAUAGAUAUUAAGCUGAAGCUUCAUAUACCUAUUAUAGUGAGAGAUCCCAUUGCACUUUUGAUAAAGAAAUUGUUUCUGUCAGUGUUUCUCUAAAACAUCCUCCAAAAUCAGACCAACUGAUCAUUAGCUCAUUAUUGUUUGUGUAUCCUAGCUGUCCAAGUCAGUUGCUGCAUUUGCCUACAUAACAAACAUGACUGCACUUCGAAACUGUUCUUUGGCUGCUAAGCACUUUAGAACCUCCUGAUGUGAAAGGCCUAUACAAAUACAAGUUCUUUUUUUUUCAAAGUAACUAUCUUUCACUGUGAAUCAAUAGCUAGAGGAAGUACAUUUUGUCACCAACCAGAACACUAGCAGCUGAUUCAAAAGUUCAAGUUGAAUUUGCCUCACGACUGCUGACUCUUUCUACGCUUUUGAUAUUCGGAUAUGUUCAACAUUAUUGUACGUACUUGCUAAAUUUUUAUUUUAGCUAUGUCCCUUUAGUUUUUGUUCAAUUUUUCUAUUGCACAUAACUGUACUGUGUUGAUAGGCUACAAUGUGAAUGUAAAAUCGUCUCAAAUGGUCAAUCUGCAACCUAUUUUUGAAACCAUAUUUCAAUCACAUUUGGUAUAUUUGGCUCUAGUAAUGCACAGACUUUGUAUGAACUAUUAGUCAUGUACUAUAAGUUUU
This is an RNA transcript of Rhincodon typus (whale shark), 2471 nucleotides long. It is a transcript of the gene named tumor necrosis factor, alpha-induced protein 8-like 3, with no coding region annotated. The record is from RefSeq and is a predicted model, not a curated record. Lineage: Eukaryota; Metazoa; Chordata; Chondrichthyes; Orectolobiformes; Rhincodontidae. The transcript is spliced from 3 exons.